GCGUGUAGCGGCGGACGGGUGAGUAAUACGUAGGAAAUUGCCCUUAAGUGGGGGAUAACCAUUGGAAACCGGGGCUAAUACCGGAUGGUGUCGCACGGCCAAAGAGGGGGAGCUUCGGGCCUCUCGCGUCAGGAUAUGCCUAGGGCGCAUUAGCUAGUUGGUGAGGUAACGGCUCACCAAGGCGACGAUGCGUAGCCGACCUGAGAGGGUGAUCGGCCACACUGGGACUGAGACACGGCCCAGACUCCUACGGGAGGCAGCAGUAGGGAAUCUUCCGCAAUGGACGAAAGCCUGACGGAGCAAUGCCGCGUGAGUGAUGAAGGCCUUCGGAUCGUAAAGCUCUUUCAUUAGGGAAGAACGUGGGGGCGUUAAUAGGGCGGCACCUUGACGUUACCGAACCAGAAAGCCACGGCUAACUACGUGCCAGCAGCCGCGGUAAUACGGAGGGUGCAAGCGUUAUUCGGAAUUACUGGGCGUAAAGGGCAUGCAGGUGGUUUCUUAAGUCUGAUGUGAAAGCCCCCGGCUCAACCUCGGAAUAGCAUUGGAAACUGGGGAACUUGAGUACAGAAGAGGGGGGUGGAAUUUCACGUGUAGCGGUGAAAUGCGUAGAGAUGUGGAGGAAUACCAGUGGCGAAGGCGACGCCCUGGUCAGAAACUGACGCUGAGGAGCGAAAGCGUGGGGAGCGAACAGGAUUAGAUACCCUGGUAGUCCACGCCGUAAACGAUGAGUACUAAGUGGUAGGGGGCUUCAGCCCUGGGUUUCGCAGCUAACGCGUUAAGUACUCCGCCUGGGGAGUACGGUCGCAAGAUUGAAACUCAAAUGAAUUGACGGGGGCCCGCACAAGCGGUGGAGCAUGUGGUUUAAUUCGAAGCAACGCGAAGAACCUUACCAGGUCUUGACAUCCUGCGGACAAUCCAGAGAUGGAUUGGUCCCUUCGGGAACAGAGUGACAGGUGGUGCAUGGGUGUCGUCAGCUCGUGUAGUGAGAUGUUGGGUUAAGUCCCGCAACGAGCGCAACCCUUAUCCUUGAUUGCCAGCAUGUAAUGUCGGGCACUCCAAGGUGACUGCCGGUGAUAAACCGGAGGAAGGUGGGGAGGACGUCAAAUCAUCAUGCCCCUUACGACCUGGGCUACACACGUGCUACAAUGGACAGAACAAAGGGCAGCGAAAUUGCGAGACUAAGCCAAUCCCACAAAGUGCGUCGUAGUCCGGAUUGCAGUCUGCAACUCGACUGCGUGAAGUCGGAAUCGCUAGUAAUCGUGGAUCAGAAUGCCGCGGUGAAUACGUUCCCGGGCCUU
RNAcentral lists this ribosomal RNA (1298 nucleotides) under Vibrio natriegens. RNAcentral describes it as "bacterial SSU rRNA". It matches the Rfam family "Bacterial small subunit ribosomal RNA", at positions 88 to 1382 of the family's 1533-position model. The record is from RNAcentral. Lineage: Bacteria; Pseudomonadati; Pseudomonadota; Gammaproteobacteria; Vibrionales; Vibrionaceae.